CUUAAUUUCUCCCCAUUUCCGCUACAUAAUUAACGAUCCAAACAAAGGGUUAGGGUAUUCACUAAUUGGUCAAAACUUUAAAUUGUGUAUAUUAUAGUCGAAUCUUAGUUAGUUGUCAGUCAAAAUGGCUAAAUUAGAUUUUAAAAAUCUAACAGUAAAUUACAAUAUAGUCCCUAAUUAAAUUUUAUUUGAUUAACAAAACUUUCUUGAUUCAGCCAAGCAAACUGCAAUUGAUAAAGUUUAUCUACCUCGCAACAUCCAAACUGAUAUUGAUCAGAUCAAAACCAGAAUUAAUUCUUCCACCAGCAUCCUCGCUAAUCGAACGAUGGAG
RNAcentral lists this unclassified non-coding RNA (331 nucleotides) under Hevea brasiliensis (rubber tree). The record is from RNAcentral. Lineage: Eukaryota; Viridiplantae; Streptophyta; Magnoliopsida; Malpighiales; Euphorbiaceae.